This 419-nucleotide ribosomal RNA is filed under the name bacterium. RNAcentral's name for it is "partial 16S ribosomal RNA". It matches the Rfam family "Bacterial small subunit ribosomal RNA", at positions 355 to 776 of the family's 1533-position model. The record is from RNAcentral.
UGGGGGAUAUUGCACAAUGGGCGAAAGCCUGAUGCAGCGACGCCGCGUGGGGGAUGAAGGCCUUCGGGUUGUAAACUUCUUUUGCUCUGAACAAGGCAUGCUAAUGGGUGUGUUGAGUGUAGGGGUUGAUUAGCGCCGGCUAACUACGUGCCAGCAGCCGCGGUAAUACGUAGGGCGCGAGCGUUGUCCGGAAUUAUUGGGCGUAACGGGCUUGUAGGUGGCUGGUUGCGUCUGUCGUGAAAGCUCAUGGCUUAACUGUGGGUUUGCGGUGGGUACGGGCUGGCUUGAGUGCAGUAGGGGAGGCUGGAAUUCCUGGUGUAGCGGUGGAAUGCGCAGAUAUCAGGAGGAAUACCGGUGGCGAAGGCGGGUCUCUGGGCUGUUACUGACACUGAGGAGCGAAAGCAUGGGGAGCGAACAGG